Molecule: ribosomal RNA, 93 nt
Filed under: Megasphaera cerevisiae DSM 20462
Lineage: Bacteria; Bacillati; Bacillota; Negativicutes; Veillonellales; Veillonellaceae
Source: RNAcentral
CCACCUGUUCCCAUACCGAACACAGCAGUUAAGCCUGCAAACGCCGAAAGUACUUGGGUGGAAGCGCCCCGGGAGGAUAGGAAGCCGCUGAUU